GACAUGGCAGGACGAUUUCCAGAGAUGGAUCUCUUCCAGCAAUGGACCUGCACACAGGUGCUGCAUGGCUGUCGUCAGCUCGUGUCGUGAGAUGUUGGGUUAAGUCCCGCAACGAGCGCAACCCUCGCCCUUAGUUGCCAUCAUUCAGUUGGGCACUCUAAGGGGACUGCCGGUGAUAAGCCGAGAGGAAGGUGGGGAUGACGUCAAGUCCUCAUGGCCCUUACGGGCUGGGCUACACACGUGCUACAAUGGCGGUGACAGUGGGAUGCGAGCCUGCGAGGGUGAGCAAAUCUCCAAAAGCCGUCUCAGUUCGGAUUGCACUCUGCAACUCGAGUGCAUGAAGUUGGAAUCGCUAGUAAUCGUGGAUCAGCAUGCCACGGUGAAUACGUUCCCGGGCCUUGUACACACCGCCCGUCACACCAUGGGAGUUGGCUUUACCCGAAGGCGCUGCGCUAACCCGCAAGGGAGGCAGGCGACCAC
Molecule: ribosomal RNA, 480 nt
Filed under: Xanthobacter sp. HK
Lineage: Bacteria; Pseudomonadati; Pseudomonadota; Alphaproteobacteria; Hyphomicrobiales; Xanthobacteraceae
Description: bacterial SSU rRNA
Rfam family: Bacterial small subunit ribosomal RNA
Source: RNAcentral